RNAcentral lists this unclassified non-coding RNA (330 nucleotides) under soil metagenome. RNAcentral describes it as "partial contains 5.8S ribosomal RNA, internal transcribed spacer 2, and large subunit ribosomal RNA". The stretch from base 1 to 120 matches the Rfam family "5.8S ribosomal RNA", at positions 35 to 154 of the family's 154-position model. The record is from RNAcentral.
GAUGAAGAACGUAGCGAAAUGCGAUAAGUAAUGUGAAUUGCAGAAUUCAGUGAAUCAUCGAAUCUUUGAACGCACAUUGCGCCCCCUGGUAUUCCGGGGGGCAUGCCUGUUCGAGCGUCAUUUCACCACGCAAGCCUCGCUUGGUAUUGGGCAACGCGGUCCGCCGCGUGCCUCAAAUCGACCGGCUGGGUCUUCUGUCCCCUAAGCGUUGUGGAAACUUUCGCUAAAGGGUGUUCGGGAGGCUACGCCGUAAAACAACCCCAUUUCUAAGGUUGACCUCGGAUCAGGUAGGGAUACCCGCUGAACUUAAGCAUAUCAAUAAGCGGAGGA